This 162-nucleotide ribosomal RNA is filed under the name Portulaca tuberosa. RNAcentral's name for it is "5.8S ribosomal RNA". It matches the Rfam family "5.8S ribosomal RNA". Rfam says of the family: 5.8S ribosomal RNA (5.8S rRNA) is a component of the large subunit of the eukaryotic ribosome. It is transcribed by RNA polymerase I as part of the 45S precursor that also contains 18S and 28S rRNA. Functionally, it is thought that 5.8S rRNA may be involved in ribosome translocation. The record is from RNAcentral. Lineage: Eukaryota; Viridiplantae; Streptophyta; Magnoliopsida; Caryophyllales; Portulacaceae.
AACGACUCUCGGCAACGGAUAUCUCGGCUCUCGCAUCGAUGAAGAACGUAGCGAAAUGCGAUACUUGGUGUGAAUUGCAGAAUCCCGUGAACCAUCGAGUCUUUGAACGCAAGUUGGGCCCGAAGCCUUCUGGCCGAGGGCACGUCUGCCUGGGCGUCACGC